GAUCCCAGGUGAUGAUGUACCUUGAACCAGAUCUUACAGAACUGAUGAUUCUUGGACGUUGGCUUGGAGGUGCUUUCCUGGUAAUAAUGUCAAUGGUUCUACUGGGAGGUCCAUAGCCUGCACUGUUGAAGGCAGAAACAUCUAUGUGGUAGCGUGUAUUAGGCUUCAAGUUUUCCAGUUUGGUUGAAUACUCUUGAUUGCUUACUUGCACCCUCUGCGCAGCUGCCUCUUU
RNAcentral lists this long non-coding RNA (232 nucleotides) under Gallus gallus (chicken). The record is from RNAcentral. Lineage: Eukaryota; Metazoa; Chordata; Aves; Galliformes; Phasianidae.